UCAGCGGCACCACUGGCGGUGGAUUCGCUCGGUUGGUCCGCCGGCAAUGAUGCCAUGCGGUUCGAUUCUAAAUCCGAACCGUACAGAACGGGAACUUUCCAGACAAAGAGAGAGAGAUUCCUUGGGCGUACCUUUAGCUCUUUAAAAGGUGAUUAACUCUAACUAGAUCGAACAAAAGUAAAAAGUUAUAAAUAUAUAUAUAUCAGCAUAUAAUAAUGCUCCUAUUUGGUAGCCGAGAAUAUGUUGUAAAACAAAUUAAACAAAUGAACAAAGAAAUCUCUUGGAUGUUUCUAGCUGAAAAUAUGUAAGAUUAGUCGGCCAAAUUCAACUGCUAGUGUCUUAUAUAUAUAUAUGAUAACUCAUGUUAAUACUAACAGUUUCUUGUUGUUGUGAUCUAUUUGACCUAAUCAAGGACUUGACUCGUGUCUUUUAUCAAUCAAAGACAAAUACGUUUUACAAAAUCAAAAUAUUCAAAUCUAACAAGAAGAAGAAGAAGAAGUGGAAAAAGGAGUAUCAAAAUAAAUACCCGCAACUGGAAGAAAACGAUAAUUAUUUUCCCACCAACCGAACAAGAAGCAAGAAACCAGACUCAUGCGAUCAGACACCGUUUAAAGGCGGCGCGUAAGGAGUGGGAGAUGGAGGUAGGUUUUGUUAUUUUCUGGAAGGUUCUGGGUAGAGAAUAAGUGAUAAAAGGGAGAAUAAAGGGAAAUAGCGGAUUCGAGAAGAAGGAAAUAAAAAAGAAAUAAA
This 747-nucleotide long non-coding RNA is filed under the name Gossypium barbadense (sea-island cotton). Its description in RNAcentral is "long non-coding RNA (GBAR_LNC018796)". Lineage: Eukaryota; Viridiplantae; Streptophyta; Magnoliopsida; Malvales; Malvaceae. The record is from RNAcentral.